AGUAAUGUCUGGGAAACUGCCUGAUGAGGGGGAUAACUACUGGAAACGGUAGCUAAUACCGCAUAACGUCGCAAGACCAAAGUGGGGGACCUUCGGGCCUCAUGCCAUCAGAUGUGCCCAGAUGGGAUUAGCUAGUAGGUGGGGUAACGGCUCACCUAGGCGACGAUCCCUAGCUGGUCUGAGAGGAUGGCCAGCCACACUGGAACUGAGACACGGUCCAG
RNAcentral lists this ribosomal RNA (221 nucleotides) under uncultured bacterium. RNAcentral describes it as "partial 16S ribosomal RNA". It matches the Rfam family "Bacterial small subunit ribosomal RNA", at positions 109 to 334 of the family's 1533-position model. The record is from RNAcentral.